GAUGAACGCUAGCGGCAGGCCUAACACAUGCAAGUCGAGGGGCAGCACAUAAAGUGGUUUACUACUUUUGGUGGCGACCGGCGGACGGGUUCGUAACGCGUAUGCAACCUUCCCUCAACAGGGGGAUAAUCGGGAGAAAUUCGGUCUAAUACUCCAUAACAUCAGAGCAGGCGUCUGUUUUGGUUAAAAUUUCCGGAGGUUUAGGAUGGGUAUGCGUAGCAUUAGCUAGUUGGUGAGGUAACGGCUCACCAAGGCGACGAUGCUUAGGGGGAAUGAGAGGUUAACCCCCCACACUGGUACUGAGACACGGACCAGACUCCUACGGGAGGCAGCAGUGAGGAAUAUUGGUCAAUGGGCGGAAGCCUGAACCAGCCAUGCCGCGUGCAGGAUGACGGCUCUAUGAGUUGUAAACUGCUUUUGUACGAGGGUAAAGUGGGCUACGUGUAGCCUUUUGAAAGUAUCGUACGAAUAAGGAUCGGCUAACUCCGUGCCAGCCGCCGCAGUAA
This 506-nucleotide ribosomal RNA is filed under the name uncultured bacterium. Its description in RNAcentral is "partial 16S ribosomal RNA". It matches the Rfam family "Bacterial small subunit ribosomal RNA", at positions 28 to 523 of the family's 1533-position model. The record is from RNAcentral.